UUUUUUCAUCUCAUUUAUAAUCUGCCUGUCUAGGUACAUCCCAUUGUCUUGCAUAAUGUGGGUGAGAGGUAUUCCUUUCUUCCUGGAUCUUUCUCCAUUUCCUUUCAGAUCCUCUACUUAAAAUGGAAACAGAGGAGGGUUUGAGGCAGGAAUCAAGUUGUGUAACACUAUUUAUGGCUCAUGCUGCUGGAAACAGAUUCACAUCCAUAUUCAUAACUUAGUUAAAGAGCAUGAUGGAGCAGAAUUCUAGCAGAUGUCAGGUGGUUGGAGGCACACUAUGGCAAUCACAUCUGAUGGAAAAUUUUAUGGCUGGGGAUGGAAUAAGGUGGGUUGAUCCUCUUGAGGCCUGAUCAUGGUGGCCCACUCCGGUUUGCAGCAGCUGCAGCGUUUCUUAGUAAAUUAUACAAAGACUAUCUUGGUAUUAUUAGGAGUUAUGGAGGGAGUUGUGGUUCCCAGUCAUUUUCCAUGGUGUCGUUUGUUGAUAAUGUGUUUGAAGCUCAUCAUGUUGUGUGCAUGAUAUCCAAUCUGUCCAUCACAUUCGCCACCACAUUUUCUUCUUAUAUCCCAAAACUCAGGCCCAUUCAAGACUUGGAAUUCAACUACAUUAAUCAUUUUGGUGGUUUAAUC
Magnolia sinica is the source of this 627-nucleotide long non-coding RNA. RefSeq lists it as uncharacterized. Lineage: Eukaryota; Viridiplantae; Streptophyta; Magnoliopsida; Magnoliales; Magnoliaceae. The record is from RefSeq and is a predicted model, not a curated record. The transcript has 3 exons.